UACUGAUAUGGCUGAGCAUUUGCUGGAGAUUUGCCUGGAAGAAUCGUUAUACAAUGAUCAUGCCGACGGGUAAGAGGUAGGUUGCGCGGUUCGUCAAAUAUAUUUGAAAAUUUAGCAAGCAAAGGAAGUAGAUUUGGAUCUUCAAAUUUUGUUGGCUCUCCCUUAGUUUGCUGCUUAAGUUGUACUAAAAAGCUGCUGCAUGCUUUAUGCAAAACCUUCU
Molecule: long non-coding RNA, 220 nt
Filed under: Musa acuminata (dwarf banana)
Lineage: Eukaryota; Viridiplantae; Streptophyta; Magnoliopsida; Zingiberales; Musaceae
Description: long non-coding RNA (MACU_LNC011230)
Source: RNAcentral